AGUGAACGCUGGCGGUAGGCCUAACACAUGCAAGUCGAACGGCAGCACAGUAAGAGCUUGCUUUUACGGGUGGCGGGUGGAGGACGGUUGAGGAAUACAGAGGAAUCUACUUUUUAGUGGGGGAUAACGUAGGGAAACUAACGCUAAUACCGCAUACGACCUACGGGUGAAAGCAGGGCAUCUUCGGACUUUGCGCGAUUGAAUGAUCCGAUGUCGGAUUAGUCAGUUGGCGGGGUAAAGGCCCACCAAGGCGACGAUACGUAGCUGGUCUGAGAGGAUGAUCAGCCACACGGGAACGGGGAAACGCUCCAGACUCCUGCGGGAGGCAGCGGCGAGGAAUAUAGGACAAUGGGCGCAGGCCUGAACCAGCCAUACCGCGUAGGUCAAGAAGGCCUACGGCUUGUAAAGCACGUUUGUUGGGAAAGAAAAGCAGCAUUUUAAUACCCCCCUGUUCUGACGGUACCCAAAGAAUAAGCACCGGCUAACUUCGUG
Molecule: ribosomal RNA, 492 nt
Filed under: uncultured bacterium
Lineage: Bacteria
Description: partial 16S ribosomal RNA
Rfam family: Bacterial small subunit ribosomal RNA
Source: RNAcentral